This 202-nucleotide unclassified non-coding RNA is filed under the name uncultured fungus. Its description in RNAcentral is "sequence contains ITS1". The record is from RNAcentral. Lineage: Eukaryota; Fungi.
GUAUAUAUUAUAGACACAACAUUCUAUUGACAUGCAUUGGGGUAAAUGAAGAAUCAACAUAGACACCUGGAAAGAUGUCUACAAAAGGUGCACAGGUGGAGAUAUAAAGAUGACAAGGUGUGCACAUGCUCCCUAGAGAGCCAGCAACAACCCCAUCAGGUUUAUUUCAAUAAUGAUCCUUCCGCAGGUUCACCUACGGAAA